Molecule: ribosomal RNA, 476 nt
Filed under: uncultured Bay of Fundy bacterium BA10-2A
Lineage: Bacteria; Pseudomonadati; Pseudomonadota; Gammaproteobacteria; Alteromonadales; Alteromonadaceae
Description: bacterial SSU rRNA
Rfam family: Bacterial small subunit ribosomal RNA
Source: RNAcentral
GCCAAUGGGGCGCAAGCCUGAUGCAGCCAUGCCGCGUGUGUGAAGAAGGCCUUCGGGUUGUAAAGCACUUUCAGUCAGGAGGAAAGGGUNGUAGUUAAUACCUGCUAUCUGUGACGUUACUGACAGAAGAAGCACCGGCUAACUCCGUGCCAGCAGCCGCGGUAAUACGGAGGGUGCGAGCGUUAAUCGGAAUUACUGGGCGUAAAGCGUACGCAGGCGGUUUGUUAAGCGAGAUGUGAAAGCCCCGGGCUCAACCUGGGAACUGCAUUUCGAACUGGCAAACUAGAGUGUGAUAGAGGGUGGUAGAAUUUCAGGUGUAGCGGUGAAAUGCGUAGAGAUCUGAAGGAAUACCGAUGGCGAAGGCAGCCACCUGGGUCAACACUGACGCUCAUGUACGAAAGCGUGGGGAGCAAACAGGAUUAGAUACCCUGGUAGUCCACGCCCGUAAACGAUGUCUACUAGAAACUCGGAACCUC